Molecule: ribosomal RNA, 253 nt
Filed under: uncultured bacterium
Lineage: Bacteria
Description: partial 16S ribosomal RNA
Rfam family: Bacterial small subunit ribosomal RNA
Source: RNAcentral
CGUAGGGUGCGAGCGUUAAUCGGAAUUACUGGGCGUAAAGCGUGCGCAGGCGGUUUGUCAAGUCUGAUGUGAAAGCCCCGGGCUCAACCUGGGAAUGGCAUUGGAAACUGGCAGGCUAGAGUGUGGCAGAGGGGGGUGGAAUUCCGCGUGUAGCAGUGAAAUGCGUAGAGAUGCGGAGGAACACCGAUGGCGAAGGCAGCCCCCUGGGCCAACACUGACGCUCAGGCACGAAAGCGUGGGAGCAAACAGGAUU